UACGGGGGGAGCAAGCGUUGUUCGGAUUUACUGGGCGUAAAGGGCGCGUAGGCGGUCCCGUCAGUCCCUUGUGAAAUCCCCCGGCUCAACUGGGGAACUGCAAGGGAUACAGCGGGGCUUGAGUUCGGGAGAGGGAAGCGGAAUUCCGGGUGUAGCGGUGAAAUGCGUAGAUAUCCGGAGGAACACCGGUGGCGAAGGCGGCUUCCUGGACCGAUACUGACGCUGAGGCGCGAAAGCUAGGGGAGCAAACGGG
Molecule: ribosomal RNA, 253 nt
Filed under: uncultured bacterium
Lineage: Bacteria
Description: partial 16S ribosomal RNA
Rfam family: Bacterial small subunit ribosomal RNA
Source: RNAcentral